UAUGUGAUCGUCUCUCGCAUAUCAAUAAGCGGAGGAAAAGAAACUAACAAGGAUUCCCCUAGUAACGGCGAGUGAAGCGGGAAGAGCUCAAAUUUGAAAUCUUAAAGGGUUUCCCUUUACGAAUUGUAGUUUAAAGAAGUGUUUCCCGUUGAGGUUUUGGUAAAAGUUCUUUGGAAUAGGACAUCAUAGAGGGUGAGAAUCCCGUAUUUGACCUUUACUUUCAACUUUGUGAUACACUUUCAAAGAGUCGGAUUGUUUGGGAAUGCAGUCCAAAAUGGGUGGUAAAUUUCAUCUAAAGCUAAAUAUUGGCGAGAGACCGAUAGCGAACAAGUACCGUGAGGGAAAGAUGAAAAGAACUUUGAAAAGAGAGUUAAACAGUACGUGAAAUUGUCAAAAGGGAAGCGUUUGACACCAGUGUUGUUUUUCUGAAAAUCAAUUAAAGAACUGUUUAUGCUAAGUUGUUUAGACUUUAUCAGCUAACUGUUUAGUUUUGAGCCUUUCUUUAAUGCACUUUUCAGUUAACAAGUCAACAUCAAUUUCUUUUGCUGUAAAAAAGCUUGAGGAAGGUGGCUUGAGAUUCGUCUUAAGUGUUUAUAGCCUCUUGCCUAUGCAGUCGGAGAGAUUGAGGUCUGCAGCGUAGAUCCUUCGGGGCUAAAUGCAUUUGUGCUAAGUUAUAGCAUUUUAUAGACAACUUGUUGACUAUGAUUUGUCUUGUAACUUACUCGCUUAUGUUAUUUUACCUACGCUUAGGAUGUUGAGUCAUCACACAUCUCU
RNAcentral lists this ribosomal RNA (774 nucleotides) under uncultured Neocallimastigales. RNAcentral describes it as "partial large subunit ribosomal RNA". It matches the Rfam family "Eukaryotic large subunit ribosomal RNA", at positions 24 to 614 of the family's 3401-position model. Lineage: Eukaryota; Fungi; Neocallimastigomycota; Neocallimastigomycetes; Neocallimastigales. The record is from RNAcentral.